Molecule: ribosomal RNA, 425 nt
Filed under: uncultured bacterium
Lineage: Bacteria
Description: partial 16S ribosomal RNA
Rfam family: Bacterial small subunit ribosomal RNA
Source: RNAcentral
GUGGGGAAUCUUAGACAAUGGGCGCAAGCCUGAUCUAGCCAUGCCGCGUGAGCGAUGAAGGCCUUAGGGUUGUAAAGCUCUUUCGUGGGGGAAGAUAAUGACUGUACCCCAAGAAGAAGCCCCGGCUAACUCCGUGCCAGCAGCCGCGGUAAUACGGAGGGGGCUAGCGUUGUUCGGAAUUACUGGGCGUAAAGCGCACGUAGGCGGACUGGAAAGUAAGGGGUGAAAUCCCGGGGCUCAACCCCGGAACUGCCUUUGAAACUCCCAGUCUUGAGUUCGAGAGAGGUGAGUGGAAUUCCGAGUGUAGAGGUGAAAUUCGUAGAUAUUCGGAGGAACACCAGUGGCGAAGGCGGCUCACUGGCUCGAUACUGACGCUGAGGUGCGAAAGCGUGGGGAGCAAACAGGAUUAGAAACCCGGGUAGUCC